Molecule: long non-coding RNA, 1796 nt
Filed under: Nicotiana tabacum (common tobacco)
Lineage: Eukaryota; Viridiplantae; Streptophyta; Magnoliopsida; Solanales; Solanaceae
Description: long non-coding RNA (NTAB_LNC006997)
Source: RNAcentral
GAAACAAGUUGUGGCUACCAAUCAGCACGUGUUUUUUCUGUCUAAAUUUAUAGAUUUUAAUGGCUGUUUUCUUCUUUUUCUUCUGCUUUUAAUGUUCCAUCAAUUUGUAGUCUCUUAUUGCAUGGAGCUCAUCAAGACACUUAUACUCAUUCUUAUCUGAUAGUACCCCUUUCUUCUUUUGGUUCUUUCUUAAGAGUUUAAUCAGAAUAUAUUUUCUAUUUAUAUCGGUAAUUCUUGAUUUCUAUUUUUGUAAUCCUAAAUCUUUGAGAAAGUGAAAAAAUGGAUUCAAGAAUUGAGAUAGAUUUCAUGGACCUCAACACCAGACCACAAUCAGAAAUGGCGAAGCAACACACCAAAGGUAAAAAGCAAAUCUUUUUCUCAUAUAUUUACCAGUACAGAAAUAAAGAAGAAAAUUAUUUUUGAGUUCCUGAAAAAAAAAUUGUAGACUGAUUUGAGAUUUAAUUUGAUUUUGGAAGUAAGAAAUAAUGUAUUUAAUUAGGAAAAUAUGGUCAAACUAAGAAAUAAAAUCUGUUUAGGAUUAUUAUUAUAACAUGACGUCUUGCGCUAAGAUUUAUUAGGGUUUAUUAUUGUAAGUAGAUCUCAAAUGAGAGUAAAUUAAUUGGCUGAAAAAGAAUAUACGGAAAUGAAAUUUGUUAAUUAAGUUGAUUUUCAGUACUUGAAUCUUUUACUCUAGCCUUUGUUAUUAGUUUUCUUAUGUUAUUUUCAGAUAUUCAUAAAUAUUUUUCUUUCUUAUAUUUACAAUAACUUCUGUUCGAUUCUUCAGUUCUUGUUACUUAUUUCGAUCACUUCAUUAAUUCCUUGUGAUUAAUCUUUUUUUGAUUCAUUUUUCAAUUCAAAAAGAGUUGUUUUUGGCUAUAAUAGCUUGUUUGGUCAAGCUUGUCUAAUUCUAGAAGCACUUUUUUUAAAAGUUAAAGUGUUUGGCCGAGUUUUUGGAAGAAAAAAAAAUGUUUUCGAGGAGAAACGGAAGCAGUUUUGGAGAAAUAGCAAAAAGUAGCUCUCUCCAAAAAUACUUUUUGAAAAGUGCUUUUGACAAGUGUAGUUUUUAAAAACUUGGUCAAAUACUAAUUGUUACUUAGAAGUGUUUUUCAAAUUAAUUAGCCAAACACAAACUGCUUCUCAUAAAAAAAAUGAAAAAGAUACUUUUAAGAAAAAAACACUUCUCAAAAUAAGUUAAUUUUUGCCUAACCGGCUAUGUUAGUUACAAUCUUUAUUGAAUUGAGCUUUUUCUUGUAGUUAAUUAUGUUUGGGUAUUACAUGAAGAAACUUAUCUUUUUGCUGAUCAUAUUUGUGAUAAUUAAUAGUCUGUUGUCAAAGUAAAUCUAAACUAUUUAGAUAAUUCACGCAAAACCCUUUGGUUUUUGAAUAAUUCAUACUAAACCUAAUAUAAUUUUAGUUCCGUUGAAAUAUGAGAACAUGAUGUUGAAUAGACAUGGAUCGACAUGGCUGAAAGUAAGUGAAGAAAAGAUAGAUCAAUAUGGGUUGUAUGGGAUGGAUAAGAUCUCUCCAUCCGUAAUCGGAGGUUUUGGGUUCGAGUUCUGGGUAUGAAAAAAAUUAUAUUAGGAAGUAUUUUUCCCUCAAAACAAAUAUAGACGGGCUCCAAUGCAGAUACCAGACACGAGCACCAGAUGGGAAUCAAAAACAAAAAGAUAAGAAAUUGACUCCAGAGGCAAAGCUAGCGUUUGGCCAUAGAUUCCCAAAUUUGUUUUGAAAAAUUUGAUUUUGGUGAAGUUUGGUUUAAAGAUGAAAAUAUGUUGGACAUGAUCAGUUUNNNNNNN